ACGUGCACUGGCUGGAGUGUUUCCGGCAUUACAACAUUGAUUAUACUUCAUUGGCUGUGUUGUGACAGGUUGUGACAGGCACUUAUAAAUCCAUCCUUUUUCCCCCACCUUUCUUUCACCGAAGGAGUUUACUCUUGCUGAGGAACAGCGACAGGAACCACAGCUAACUUCUUGAGUGAAUGGGAAUAGUAUCUACCAGCUUUUCGACUGUGGAGGGCGUUUACAAUUUGAUGUCCACGAGUGUAGAUUCCCAGCAGGAUUCACUGGAUGCCACUCAAAAGCCAUGGUUGAUUUUCUCCGUCCUCAUAUUGGGGUUGUGAGCAUGUUCCCCUCAUCAUUUUGAAGAAGAAGGGGCUGAUCGAGCAUGAGGUCCCAAAGGAGCGAAGCAAGCUGAUCUGAGAAAAUAGUGGAUCUGAACGGGAGCCAAUUUGGCCGGAGGUCAGUCAGCGUGAUGAUACUGUGCGUGGGCUAUCCGUGUUUUCCUACUCCUUUCCCAGGAAUAGAAUUGUUGACCCUUUACUGAAACCUUCAUUCUGAGUUUUUUUUCCCCACCUGUAAGCAUUGAGGAGUUUCAAUUUUGUGUGUUUGGCAUUUUUUCAUAAUAAAAUUUGCACCGUCUUUGUGCACGUUUUUA
Carcharodon carcharias (great white shark) is the source of this 634-nucleotide long non-coding RNA. RefSeq lists it as uncharacterized. The transcript is spliced from 2 exons. The record is from RefSeq and is a predicted model, not a curated record. NCBI's taxonomy places the organism in Eukaryota, Metazoa, Chordata, Chondrichthyes, Lamniformes, Lamnidae.